This 59-nucleotide small nucleolar RNA is filed under the name Euglena gracilis. RNAcentral's name for it is "Eg-m110.2 box C/D methylation-guide". The record is from RNAcentral. Lineage: Eukaryota; Euglenozoa; Euglenophyceae; Euglenales; Euglenaceae.
AGAUUGAUGACCCGUGCUGUUGAUUGCCUGAUUGUCUGAAACCAAGAUCUGUUCUGACU